GUGGGAGGGGGCUUGCUCCCGAUAGCGGUGCGUCAGUCGCCAGAUGUAUUGACCGAUCCACUGCCAUCGGGAGCAAGCCCCCUCCCAC
This 88-nucleotide non-coding RNA is filed under the name Pseudomonas sp. SJZ094. The record is from RNAcentral. Lineage: Bacteria; Pseudomonadati; Pseudomonadota; Gammaproteobacteria; Pseudomonadales; Pseudomonadaceae. RNAcentral also lists the same sequence under 1 other name.